This 5250-nucleotide ribosomal RNA is filed under the name Triticum aestivum (bread wheat). RNAcentral's name for it is "partial small subunit ribosomal RNA". Lineage: Eukaryota; Viridiplantae; Streptophyta; Magnoliopsida; Poales; Poaceae. The record is from RNAcentral.
AUGGAGUGCUCGCCUCGCCGGCUGCUUGACAGAAGGGAGGCGCUGCAGUGGGCAGUGGGGCGGGGGAGACUUCGGUGGGCUCUGCGCGCGGCAGCGAUCUGGCGGUCAAGAAAAACUAAAGCCGAGCAAAUGAAGUUCUUAAACUUGACUAAUUCGGCCCUACUAUCGAUGGCUCCUCUCCCUUCUCCCCCUUCGUCCCCUCGCGUGCCGCUCCCCUCCUCCCCCCUGCCCUCGCCGUGGCCCAUGGCUCCCCCCUCCCCCCUCCCCUUCCUUCCCUCCCGCCACCCCCUCCCCCCCCGUCUUCUGCGAUCGGAUUCUGACUCGGCGGAGGAUGCCUCGUCGGGUGUGGUCUCGAUGGUGCCGCCCGUGCUGGCGCCGGGCCACGUCCGGAAAUUUGCUCCGGGUGGCAGGGGUCGGCCGGUGUCGUUUCCCUCUGGGUCGUCUGGGUGGUGGUGCGUUGGCUGGCGACGGCGCCGUGCGGGACGGGGCCCGGCACCCUCUCCUGAGUGUGGUAUCCUCGGUUCCUCCCCGUCCGCCGGCCUGUUGGAUUUGGGUGUUGGUGCUUCUCCGGUCGCUUGUCCUAUUCGCCCUCCUCCUCGCCGGCCUGGGCCGGUGGCGGCGGCGGCGGCUUCGCCGGUGUGUGCGGGGGCGGGCGGUGGCCAAAACCUAGAUCCGGUCUGUUCUUUGGUCGAAAUGGGCCUUGGUGAGCUCGUGGGCCUAGCGGUGCCUGGAUCGUCUCGAGCUGGGCCGCCCAGGCCCCCGGCUCUGUCGUCCCUCGUGUCGUUUCCCCCCUCUCGUCUAUGGGCCCGGGGUAGUUGGUUGUGGCCACUGCUCCGCGUCCGCCCCCUUCCCGAGCCUGCGAUCCCGUUACGGCCCACUCGGCCCUCUCUGGCCUGGCCUGUUGUGGGUAUUUAUGGGUGCGUCGCGGCGCUUCCCCCCCCCUUCCUAGGGUUUCCGGCGUCCGCCGCUGAUAUCCGCAGGGUGCGUCGCCCUAUCCGCCAGUUCUCCAGAUCCGCUCCCUCCCCACCCCCACUUCUUCUCUCCUUCGCUGAGGUGACCGCCAUGGACAAAUCUCGGGGUUCCUCCUCCGAGGCCCUUUCGGGUAGCAAGCGUGCCCGUGAAGCGUCGCCGGGCGAUGGGGUCGAUCUGGCCUAUGAGGCGGAGCUGCGGUCCAAGCUCGAAUCGGAGCGGGCGCUGCGCGUGCUGCCUUCUGAGCGGGAGGAGUGGGAGGUGGGGGCGGAGCGCUCCGUGGCCAGAUCUGGGUCGGCGGUCCCUUGCGCGGGGCUGGAUCCGUGGGAGGCCGCUGCUGCUUCGGCUGGCGGUGGUUCCUCCUCGUCGACGCCGCGCCCAGCUCCGGCCAGGGGCCCGAUCCCUCCGCCUCGGCCCCCUCCCCGCUCGUUUGCGGCGGGCGGUGCCUCUCGCUCGGGGCCGCGCUUCGGGCCUGGCUCCUCCUCUUCGCACGCCGGGGAUCGGCGCCCCCCUCCUCCUGCUUCGGGUCCCCCUUCUGCGGUCCGUGGCGAUGGCAUCCUGCCGCCGCCACCGCCUCCCCCUCCUCGCCAGCAUCCUGCCUCCUCGGGCCCCUCACCGACCCUGACUUGCUUUGCGUGCCACCGCCCGAAUCACUUCCAAUCUAGAUGCACUAAUCCACCCUUCUGCCUCAUCUGCCGCUCGGACGGCCAUCUCACUGUCGACUGUCGUAACCGUACCAAGAUUCCCUCUUUCAUCCAGUUUGGCUUGGGUAUUCCCGGAUGUUCUUUCUUCGCUCUAGAUGCUGAUGUUCCUGUGGUGAUGGUUGCGCCGUCCCUCUCUAAUGCGGCCAUCGUCACGGUGUGUGGUCAGCUGAUCUCUCCGCAGACCCUCUUGGAUGGCUUGAAAAUUUGGGACGAUGGUGGCUGGGAUUGGCAGGUGUGCCAGCUUUCAGAGUAUGAAUUCGCAGUGGUUUUUUCCUCUAAGGACUGUCUACGGAUGAUCUCCUCGUGCACCAGUUUUACCCUCCCCCUCAACCAGCUUGUGGUUUCUGUCAAAGCAGCUACUUGUGGUGCCAAGGCGGUGGGCCCGCUUAGCAAGAUCUGGGUGCUAGUUGACGACGUGCCCGUAGGGCUUCGAUCUGUGGAGUUCAUGAUGGCGUUUGGUAAGCUCAUUGGCAAGCCCAUGGAGGUGGAUUCGGAAUCCCUGGGCAAGGUUGGCCCGGUUCGUCUCAAUGUCUGGUGCAUCGACCCCGUUUGUGUUCAUGGCUCUGUGGAUGUCUUCCCUUCUCCUGAGGGUGUGCGACUACGGGUUCGGGUGGAGGGUGCAGAACCCCGUGCUCCCCCUCCACCCCCGCCUCCUCCUUCCAAACCUUCGGACCAGGACAAGGAUGGCACACAGGGGGAUGGGUCGGCUGGGGGGCAGAACCCAAGUCGAGGAACUAAUCUGCGUUUCACACAGUCUGAAUGGGAUAAGCUGGAUUCGGAUGAACGCGAGCUGCUCAAGGACAAUGCCCCUGCCCCUAACCCUCAGAAGGAGGACUUGGCUUCUCGUGCCACUGGUGCUGCUUCCCCCUUGCGCUCCACCGAGCCCUCAACUAAGAAGAAGAAGAAGUCUUCGGUCCGGAAAUUUUCGACUAAGAGUCGGGCCUCCUCCACUUCCAAGCUGUCGGCAACGGGUCUGGCUCGGCGUCUGGACAAGGACCUGGGCUCCGUCUCGGGGUCUGGCCCUGGGCCGGCGUCGCCGAUUCGGUGCUCCCCUGUGCUGCACUCUCCGGCAUCCACGGCGCGGAAGGGUCGGCGUGUGCGCGACUCUGGCGUCUCGGUGGCGGUGCGGGCGGAGCGGCGUGCCGCGGCCAAGGACCUCCCUCCUUCAGGUUCGUCUGCCCAACCAUCUCUCCCUGCCUCCCCUGUUCGCCUUGUUUUACCAGCUCUGUCAGAUGACCAUUUGCUGCAUAUCAUGUCUGAUAUUGGGGUGGCUGCGAUACCGGGGAUGAGCUCCCCUUCUCACCUUCUUUCUGUCAUUAGGGCCAAUGAGGCAGCCCAGGCUGCCAUUGCUAAGGCCGUUGAGGCCGCGAAAGGUGUUGGUCCUGCUGGUGCUCAGGGCCAAGCCGGGGGGCUGGAGGCGACAAAUGGUUGUGGCCAGUCGUCGCCCCCCCCCCCCCGGUCCUUGCUAAGGUGGGGCGUCCCAAGCGAUCUAAGCCUUGUGGGGCUCCGUGCAGAUCGAGUCUCCGUAUUAAAAACCUUUCCUUCAAAUGAGAGCUCUAUUCUGGAAUAUUCGUGGUUUCGGUGCUGGGGGCGCCGUGACCAGAUUCAUGACUUGGUUUGUGGUGAACAUAUUGACAUUUUAGGGCUGGUCGAAACGUUCAAGGAAUCAUUUUCCCCUUCUGAACUCUCUGCGAUAGCUGGGAUGGAUAGGUUUGAUUGGCACCUUCUCCCCGCCUCGGGCCACUCUGGGGGAAUCUUGAUUGGGUCCAAGCGGGACGUUUUUGAUUUCAUUACUUUUGAUCAUGGCGUCUUUUGGGCUAGCUGUGUGGUUCAUCAUCGUCAGCUCAACACUUUGUGGGAAUUUAUGGUGGUUUAUGGCCCUGCGGAUCACACGCUUGCUCCUCUCUUUUUGGACGAACUAUCGACUAAGAUUGAAACAUGUUCUAUUCCUCUACUAAUUGGGGGUGAUUUCAAUUUGUUACGUUCUCCGGCCGACAAGAAUAAUCCUAAUUUCUCCUGGCCUCUUGCCAAUGCUUUUAAUGAUUUCAUCAGUAACUGCGCGUUGCGUGAGCUCCCUAGGGUGGGGGCGCGUUUCACCUGGUCUAACCAUCAAUCCUCGCCUGUCCGGUCGGUGCUGGACAGGGUUUUUGUUUCUGUUCAGUGGGACUCGCUAUUUCCUCGCGCGUUGCUUAAGGCUAGGCCUGCGGUGGGCUCUGAUCAUGUUCCCCUGAUCCUGGAUGCGGGUAUCCUCUCUCUUGUUUCUCCCUCCCGUUUCCAGUUUGAUGCUUCUUGGCUUGUUGUGGAGGGUUUUUGCGACAUGGUGGCUUCUAAGAUCACUAAUCUUCUCUCCUCUCCUCACCGCUCCUUUGGCCCCUUGGAUGAUUGGCACAAGCUAUCUUAUGAGUUGCGUAAAUUCUUAAGGGGGUGGUCUCGGAAUAGGGCGGCCGAGUUGCGUAGAGACAAGGAGUCCCUCGAAUCUCAAAUCCGGGAUUUGGACCUAUCUGCUGACACAUCUGGGCUCUCACCUUCUCAGUGGGCUUCUCGCUACUCCCUGGAAGACGCUCUGUUGCUGCUCCACCAACAGUCAGAGAUUUACUGGCGCCAACGAGGUGCCCUUAACUGGACCUUAAAAGGGGAUGCUAUGACGGCCUAUUUUUUUGCGAUCGCGAAUGGCAGACGCCGCAGGUGUUUCAUUGACACUCUGUUGAUUGACGGUGUUAGAGUUUCUGACCAGUCCCCCAUUAUGAAUCACAUUGUUAGUUUCUAUUCUACUCUACUCGGCUCUAAGCCGGACCCUGGGCUUGGCCUUUGUCCUGACUUUUGGGGUGAGGGGUCUAAGAUCUCUCCGGACGAAAAUUCGGACCUGAUGGUUCCCUUAUCUGAUGAUGAGAUUUGGCAGGGUAGAUAUAAUACGAACGCUGGUAAAGUGGCCCUAAUUAAUGCUUGUCUCUCCUCCCUCCCCAUGUUCCUUAUGGGCUUCUUUCUCUUGUCGGCUGGGAUUCAUGCUGGUUUUGACAAACACCGUGGGGCGUUUUACUCGAAUGCUGCGGACAACCGUCGCAAAUAUCGCUUCGUCAAAUGGAAAUUGAUGUGCAGGCCCAAAAACCUUGUGGGGUUAGGGAUUCUCAAUACUUCCAUCAUGAAGCAAUGCUUGAUGAUUAAAUGGUGGUGGAAGAUUAUGAGCGCUGAGGAUCAACCCCUUUGGCUGUUGAUCCUUAAGGCUAAAUAUUUCCCAUCCUCAAGCCCGAUGUUCGCUCUGCCGCGUGGUGGCUCUCAGUUUUGGAAGUCUCUGGUCAAAGUUAGACCUGUUUUUCAAUCUUUUGUUAAGUUUGUUGUUGGGGAUGGUUCCUCUAUUCGGUUUUGGCUUGAUUGGUGGUGUGGAGAUUCACCUCUCUCGGUGACCUUCCCUACCCUUUUCUCUUACUGCUCUGAACCUAAUAUUUCUAUUGCGAAGCUUGCUUCCCAGGGAUGGAACCUGGCCUUCCGUCGCUCUCUAUCGCCUGUAGAGUUUGAAGAUUGGCAACGUCUUACUGCCCUCUUCCCUACGCUCUCGACGGUUAGGGACUCGGUGCUCUAG